AUACUUACCUGGCAGGGGAUGUUCCAUGAUCACGAAAGUGGUUUUCCCAGGGUGAGGCUUAUCCAUUGCCCACUGGAUGCGCUGACCCCUGCGAUUUCCCCACAUGCGAGAAAUUGGCUUGCUUAAUUUGUAGUAGUGGGGGACUGUGUUCGCGCUUUUCUCUG
This is a small nuclear RNA of Octodon degus (degu), 164 nucleotides long. Its record names the gene U1. It matches the Rfam family "U1 spliceosomal RNA". From Rfam's summary of the family: U1 is a small nuclear RNA (snRNA) component of the spliceosome (involved in pre-mRNA splicing). Its 5' end forms complementary base pairs with the 5' splice junction, thus defining the 5' donor site of an intron. There are significant differences in sequence and secondary structure between metazoan and yeast U1 snRNAs, the latter being much longer (568 nucleotides as compared to 164 nucleotides in human). NCBI's taxonomy places the organism in Eukaryota, Metazoa, Chordata, Mammalia, Rodentia, Octodontidae. The record is from Ensembl.